GAGGGGCAGCGAGAUCAGUGCUUGCACUGAUUGUCGGCGACCGGCGCACGGGUGCGUAACGCGUAUGCAACCUACCCAUUACAGGGGGAUAACACUGAGAAAUCGGUACUAAUACCCCAUAACAUCCAGGGAGGCAUCUUCUUGGGUUGAAAACUCCGGUGGUAAUGGAUGGGCAUGCGUUGUAUUAGUUAGUUGGUGGGGUAACGGCUCACCAAGACAACGAUACAUAGGGGGACUGAGAGGUUAACCCCCCACAUUGGUACUGAGACACGGACCAAACUCCUACGGGAGGCAGCAGUGAGGAAUAUUGGUCAAUGGACGCAAGUCUGAACCAGCCAUGCCGCGUGCAGGAAGACGGCUCUAUGAGUUGUAAACUGCUUUUGUACGAGGGUAAACGCAGAUACGUGUAUCUGUCUGAAAGUAUCGUACGAAUAAGGAUCGGCUAACUCCGUGCCAGCAGCCGCGGUAAUACGGAGGAUUCAAGCGUUAUCCGGAUUUAUUGGGUUUAAAGGGUGCGUAGGCGGUCGGAUAAGUUAGAGGUGAAAUCCCGAGGCUCAACUUCGGAAUUGCCUCUGAUACUGUUCGGCUAGAGAGUAGCUGCGGUAGGCGGAAUGUAUGGUGUAGCGGUGAAAUGCUUAGAGAUCAUACAGAACACCGAUUGCGAAGGCAGCUUACCAAGCUACUUCUGACGUUGAGGCACGAAAGCGUGGGGAGCAAACAGGAUUAGAUACCCUGGUAGUCCACGCAGUAAACGAUGAUAACUCGUUGUCGGCGAUACAAUGUCGGUGACUAAGCGAAAGCGAUAAGUUAUCCACCUGGGGAGUACGUUCGCAAGAAUGAAACUCAAAGGAAUUGACGGGGGCCCGCACAAGCGGAGGAACAUGUGGUUUAAUUCGAUGAUACGCGAGGAACCUUACCCGGGCUUGAAAGUUAGUGACGGAUCUUGAAAGAGGUCUUCCUUUCGGGGCACGAAACUAGGUGCUGCAUGGUUGUCGUCAGCUCGUGCCGUGAGGUGUCGGGUUAAGUCCCAUAACGAGCGCAACCCCUACCGUUAGUUGCCAGCAGGUCAAGCUGGGCACUCUGACGGGACUGCCGGUGUAAGCCGAGAGGAAGGUGGGGAUGACGUCAAAUCAGCACGGCCCUUACGUCCGGGGCUACACACGUGUUACAAUGGCAGGUACAGAGGGCAGCUACCCAGCGAUGGGAUGCGAAUCUCGAAAGCCUGUCUCAGUUCGGAUUGGAGGCUGAAACCCGCCUCCAUGAAGUUGGAUUCGCUAGUAAUCGCGCAUCAGCCAUGGCGCGGUGAAUACGUUCCCGGGC
This 1320-nucleotide ribosomal RNA is filed under the name uncultured bacterium. RNAcentral describes it as "partial 16S ribosomal RNA". It matches the Rfam family "Bacterial small subunit ribosomal RNA", at positions 64 to 1379 of the family's 1533-position model. The record is from RNAcentral.